Cottoperca gobio is the source of this 509-nucleotide long non-coding RNA. RefSeq lists it as uncharacterized. NCBI's taxonomy places the organism in Eukaryota, Metazoa, Chordata, Actinopteri, Perciformes, Bovichtidae. The transcript is spliced from 4 exons. The record is from RefSeq and is a predicted model, not a curated record.
GUAGCUAAUCGUGAGCUAACGGCUGUGAAGCUAACCGCCAGUAGCUAAUCGUUAGCUAACAGUAAGCUAACCGCCAGUAGCUAAUCAUUAGCUAACAGUAAGCUAACCUCCAGUAGCUAAUCGUGAGCUAACAGUAAGCUAUCUCCAACUGCCUUCAUCCAAGAAGCAAACUACGUUACGAGACAGCUUGUAGGAGAUUUCAUCAAACAACCGAGGCCUCAGAGGGUGAGGGGACGUGACCAGCAGAAAAUGGAUGGAGAGACACGAGGAGCAUCUACAAUGGUGGACACUGACAGGAGUUCACCUCUCAAAGGAAGAGAUGAGCAGCCUGUUGGCGUGUGUGAGCGAGGACUCGGACAGGACAUCGAUGGGAGUCGAGGCGUCGAUCAUUCUUUCAGCCGAUGUGAUGCGACUGGGCCCAGUGCUGCUGAUGGGAGGAGUGGUUGGACACCAGCGGCCCACAAUCCUCUGCUCUGCUUCAGAUGAGGCUGUGAGCUAAUCAUCUCCGU